CUUCGGUUGAUCCCGCCGGAGGUUACUGCUAUCUGUGUUCGACUAAGCCAUGCAAGUCAUAUGUUCCUCGUGAACAUGGCAUACUGCUCAGUAACACGUGGAUAACCUGCCCUUGGGUCUGGGAUAACCCCGGGAAACUGGGGAUAAUAUCGGAUAACGCAUAUGUGCUGGAAUGCUUUAUGCGUAAAACGGAUUCGUCCGCCCAAGGAUGGGUCUGCGGCCUAUCAGGUAGUAGUGGGUGUAAUGUACCUACUAGCCAACAACGGGUACGGGUUGUGAGAGCAAGAGCCCGGAGAUGGAUUCUGAGACAUGAAUCCAGGCCCUACGGGGCGCAGCAGGCGCGAAAACUUUACAAUGCGGGAAACCGUGAUAAGGGAACACCGAGUGCCAGCAUCAUAUGCUGGCUGUCCAGAUGUGUAAACUACAUCUGUUAGCAAGGGCCGGGCAAGACCGGUGCCAGCCGCCGCGGUAACACCGGCGGCCCGAGUGGUGACCGUUAUUAUUGGGUCUAAAGGGUCCGUAGCCGGUUUGGUCAGUCCUCCGGGAAAUCUGAUAGCUUAACUGUUAGGCUUUCGGGGGAUACUGCCAGGCUUGGAACCGGGAGAGGUAAGAGGUACUACAGGGGUAGG
This 629-nucleotide ribosomal RNA is filed under the name uncultured archaeon. Its description in RNAcentral is "bacterial SSU rRNA". It matches the Rfam family "Archaeal small subunit ribosomal RNA", at positions 1 to 630 of the family's 1478-position model. The record is from RNAcentral.